UUCCCCACAGCCUGCCGUGGAGGUGCCCCAGUAUGUGGGUAUCCGGCUUCUAGUAGAGGGCUCCACCAUCAAGAAGCCCCUGGCGAUGUGUCACCGGCAAAUAGAAGUCCGCCCAGCCCUCCCUCACCUGCUGACCCAGCGAGGCUCUGGGGAAGGCAAGGACUCGGGAACCCUUACCCACAGCACGGCCCGGCUGCCUUCUCCCCGUGUGCUCCGACCCCAGGGGCGGGGCCUCAGACGGCAGCACAGCAGGCUGGUGGGCUCUGAGGCCCUGUCGACCCCAGGCAAGGCCUUGAUGACUCUACCUACUGCCAAGGUUUUGAUUUCCCUCCCACCUAACCCUGAGCUCAAGCUGGCACCCAACGCCCUGAAACCAAGAAAGGUGGGCCUCGAACGGUGACCCAUACCCUGGUGGGCAGUGCUGAGAACUGGGGUCAGGGCUGGAAGGGCACAGGUAGAGGGUAACUCCCAGGAUGGCCUGAGCCCCAGGGGAAGGGCUUGUAUCCCUCAGAACCCCCUUCCUGAACAGAUUCCUGAUCAUCUCUCCCCUUCUCUCCUCCUUUCACACCGAGGCUCUUGCUCCUCAGCGCUUUCAUGGUCCCCCACUUGGAAGUAACUUGUGGUCUCAACCCUUUGAAGUCGGAAAUCUUCCUAGCACCCAUAGGAAGAUGAAGGCCAAAGGCAAGUUCAAGGCCAGACUCUGCGACAAACCCAAGGCUGAGACAUGCCUCAUGACGACACGGAGCCUUCCGGGACCCCUGCCCCUUAUCAGUGCACACCAGGGUCUGGGGGGCAUGAGGGACGUGUGGCUACAGAAGUCCUUGCUUCAAUUGUCACUGCCCUUAUCCUGGACGCAGUGCCAAGUAAAAAAGCAAAUGAAGUAUUUGAGGCUUGGCUCCUUUUCUGUUAGAGGGUGAAGGGAGAUUCGGGUGCGGCUCUGUACCCCAAGGUACAGAACAAGAGCUAGAGGCCAUCAGCAACUCCUCCACAAAGCAAGGCCCAGAAUUCCCACCCAGUGACAGACAUGAGGCAUCCUGUCCAGGGACUCCCCAGGCAUCUCUGAUCUCGGGGUGGGAGGAUAAGUGUCAUGUUACAGAUGACGAAACGGAGUCUGAACGAGGAGACAUGGUUUGCCCAAGAUCCUGUGGCAGUGAACAGAAGGCUGGGACACAUUACCACGACUGCUGAGCCCUGCAGGUCUCCCCAGUCCCCAAGCCCAGAGGAGGAGCUGGGCUGGCAGCAAAAUGACAUCUAAUGGGCACAAGAUUUACAGCAGGAGACACAGCAGAAGAGUAGACCCAGCCCUUCUCCAGAUGAAGUGGGUCUCUCCCUUCCUCUGCAAGGGGCCAAGUUCACCUAAAAAGGAAAUAUUCAAUAAGCCACACCCAUCUGAAAAAGUUUGGUAUUUCUUAAUUGUAAUGGGUUGAACAUUGGUAUGUCUUCCCUUGGAAGACAUGAAUAUGUCCUGUGAAUAUGACUUUAUUUGGAAAAAAGGGUCUUUGUAGAUGUAAGUAUGUUAAAGAUUUUGAGAUGAGAUCAUCCUGGAUUAUCCAGAUGGGGCCUAAAUCCAAUGACAAGUGUCCUUACAAGAGACAAGAGAAGACAAACGAGGAGAAGGCCAUGUGGAGACAGAGGCAGAGACUGGUGUGAUGCAGCCACAAGCCAGGAAGAGGCAAGGACGGAUUCUCACCUAGAACCUUCAAGGAGAGCACAGCCCUGCUGACACCUUGAUUUUGGACUUCUGGCCUCCAGAACUGGGAGAGAAUCCAUUUCUGUUGUUUUAGGCCACGCAGGUUGUGGUAAUUUGUUGCAGCAGCAGCCCUAGGAAACUCACACACUAGUCAAAUGAAGAUACAUAUAUUCUGUAUAUUUAUGAACCCAUUCUUGUGCAGCUGAACCAGGAGAUGCGUACAGCAGGCUCACAGCAGCACUGUGGUAACAGCUGACGACCUAAGUGUCCAUUAACAGUCAGAUGGAUAGACUGCAAGCUCUGACGUUCCAACUCCACGCCGCACAACGGAUGCAUUUCACAGGAUAGAGCAAGAACAAGUCACAAAAGGAUAUAUGCAGCACAAUUCCAUUCCAACAGAAACU
Long non-coding RNA from Physeter macrocephalus (sperm whale), 2094 nucleotides. RefSeq lists it as uncharacterized. The transcript has 2 exons. The record is from RefSeq and is a predicted model, not a curated record. NCBI's taxonomy places the organism in Eukaryota, Metazoa, Chordata, Mammalia, Artiodactyla, Physeteridae.